AACGCACAUUGCGCCCCGUGGUAUUCCGCGGGGCAUGCCUGUUCGAGCGUCAUUUCACCAAUCAAGCCUCGCUUGGCCAUGGGCACCGCGGUUAACCCCGCGCGCCCCAAUGUCUCCGGCUGAGCCGUCCGUCUCUAAGCGUUGUGGUUUUAUCAAUUCGCUUCGGAGUGCGGGCGCGUUCGCGCCGUUAAACUUUCUCAAGGUUGACCUCGGAUCAGGUAGGGAUACCCGCUGAACUUAA
RNAcentral lists this unclassified non-coding RNA (241 nucleotides) under uncultured fungus. RNAcentral describes it as "partial contains 5.8S ribosomal RNA, internal transcribed spacer 2, and large subunit ribosomal RNA". The stretch from base 1 to 52 matches the Rfam family "5.8S ribosomal RNA", at positions 103 to 154 of the family's 154-position model. The record is from RNAcentral. Lineage: Eukaryota; Fungi.